UGGGGAAUUUUGGACAAUGGGCGCAAGCCUGAUCCAGCCAUGCCGCGUGCGGGAAGAAGGCCUUCGGGUUGUAAACCGCUUUUGUCAGGGAAGAAAUCUUCUGAGUUAAUACCUCGGGAGGAUGACGGUACCUGAAGAAUAAGCACCGGCUAACUACGUGCCAGCAGCCGCGGUAAUACGUAGGGUGCAAGCGUUAAUCGGAAUUACUGGGCGUAAAGCGUGCGCAGGCGGUUUUGUAAGACAGAGGUGAAAUCCCCGGGCUCAACCUGGGAACUGCCUUUGUGACUGCAAGGCUUGAGUGCGGCAGAGGGGGGAUGGAAUUCCGCGUGUAGCAGUGAAAUGCGUAGAUAUGCGGAGGAACACCGAUGGCGAAGGCAAUCCCCUGGGCCUGCACUGACGCUCAUGCACGAAAGCGUGGGGAGCAAACAGAUUAGAUACCCUGGUAGUCCACGCCCUAAACGAUGUCAACUGGUUGUUGGGAAGGUUCCUUCUCAGUAACGUAGCUAACGCGUGAAGUUGACCGCCUGGGGAGUACGGCCGCAAGGUUGAAACUUAAAUGAAUUGACGGGGUCAUAGCUGUUUCCUG
This 586-nucleotide ribosomal RNA is filed under the name uncultured bacterium. RNAcentral describes it as "partial 16S ribosomal RNA". It matches the Rfam family "Bacterial small subunit ribosomal RNA", at positions 355 to 1376 of the family's 1533-position model. The record is from RNAcentral.